This 4911-nucleotide long non-coding RNA is filed under the name Diabrotica virgifera virgifera (western corn rootworm). RNAcentral's name for it is "uncharacterized LOC126887543". Lineage: Eukaryota; Metazoa; Arthropoda; Insecta; Coleoptera; Chrysomelidae. The record is from RNAcentral.
AGACACUUUUUCAGAUAUUUGAUUUAACAUAUAUUAAUACGAAGUAAAAUAUAUUCAUUGUUGGAGAAAUAAAUUUCCAACGCUAAUAUUUAGUAAAACUAUAUUUGAUUUAAAUAUUUUGUUUAGUGGUUUGCACCUUGUGUACAAGUUACAAAGUUUUUCUAUGUUUUAUGUUCUAUGAUUCGAAGCAGGGCCCCCGCAAGGCUGAUUGGCGCCCGCGUGCGGGACAUAUUUUAGCGCCCUUUAAAUCUAAACUUUAAGAUUGUAUAAUAUACGUAAAAAUAAUCAAAACUAACUCAUAUGUUGUUAUCCGAUUUUCAUUUGUUUCCGGGAUACGGGGUGUUAAAUUUUUUCUUACAAACUGACGAUUUAUUUAUUGCUCUAAAACCGGUUGAGUUGUGCAAAUGAAAUUUGGUGGGUUUUAAGACAUAGUUGGUGCACAUAUUUUGACACACAAUUAAGAAUUUUAUAUUCACCAUUGGCGCGCGUACUGGUAAUAGUAUAAAAUAUUUUAAAGAUAAUUAUGAAAAGUUGUUCAGUAUUAAAAACUAUGUUUCUAUAUGCAAUUACAUCCUUCUAAUUGAAACAUAUUGUGAUCUCGAAAGGCACUUUACUUUUGAUCAAAACUCAUAUUUUUUACAUAUAAGUAUAUCUCAUAUAAAAUUAAAACAAUUUGAUAGGAUUUGAUGGUUGAUCUUAGACCAUGCAAAUCUUUUUAGAAAGAACUUUUUAUCGUACAUUAAUUGUACUUUUCAACAACGGCCUUUUCAUUUAUUAGAAAUAAUGUGAUAAGUCUUUUAUUAUUAAUAAUUAGCCCUUUCAGUUAUUACAAAUAAUGUGAUAACUUUUUUAUUAUUAUUCAUUAAUUAAUCAAUAACAACCCGCAGGCAACCAAAGUUAAUGCUUAUAAUGUUUUGUAUAUUGACAAAUUUUUCAUUUAUUGUUUACGUGCUUUGUAUGCUAAAAUAAGACUUCAUUUAGAUAUUUAUGGUAGGGGAGCCCAAGCGGGGAUUUUUGUAGUUACUCGAGCGCGUCAGAUUAGCAUAUGGGAGAAACCUGGUAAUCUGCAGAUGUACGUCUACCAUAUAUUGGCCCUUAACACAGGGGAGUUCGUUAAGGGGGACCCGAAAAAAAAAUCUAUCCUUAAAAAUACUCGAAAUUGUCAGAUUAAGAUAAGGUAAGUUAGGUAUAUAUGCAAAAGAGCGUAUAUUUCAGAAAUCUGACGAUUUGAGACGGGCGUAAGGAAAUGGGUGAGUCCCAAAAUUUUACAAGAAAAAAGCGAAUAUUUCGCGAAAUGAAUGACAGAUCAAAAUACUAAAAAAUAAGUGCCCAAUAUUUUUUAAAAAUCUAUCGAAUGAUACCAAACACGACUUUCCACGGAGAGGGGUGGGGGGUAAAUUUAAUAUUUUAAAUGCGAAUCCCGCGAUAUUUCGCGAAAUGAACAUCAAAUCGAAAAACUCUAAAAUACACUCACCCAAUAUUUUUAAAAAAUCUAUCGAAUGGCACCAAUCACGACCCCCCAUGGAUGUGGGGUGGGGGGAUACUUUAAAAUCUUAAAUAGGAGCCCUCAUUUUUUAUUGCAGAUUUGGAUUCCUUACGUAAAAAUAAGUAACUUUUAUUCGAAACAUUUUUUCGAAUUAUGGAAAGAUGGCGUUAUAAUCGGAAAAAACGAUUGUUGGAAAUGGAAAAUUAAAUUAAAAAAUGGCAAGCGCCCACUAAAAUGGAAAACUUUACUUAAUUUUUUUUUAUUUUAGGACCUACUCUUCACAACCCAAUAGGUCCCCAAAGCGCUCGAGUAACUACACAUUUAGCAUACUUUGCUCCCCUACCAUUAGUUAAAGAAACGUGUAAAUUAAGAGAUUCUUAUUCGUUUUUCUCAAGUGAGUUAGUUUAAUGCAAUAGUGUUGUUCUUCUUGAAAACGGUUUGAGGUUAUGUGUUUUGUUUUUUUUUUUGAACUGAUUGUGUUAUCGAGUUUAAUUAAAUUAAUUUGUUAAUAAAUUAUUUAUUAGCUUAUAUGUUGUUUCAGUUUUGACACAGUAAGUAUACCUAGGUAUAUAUAAAGUGAAAAUUCUCUCUACCUAUAUCAUUUUAUAUAAUAUAAAGUCUCCCAUUUGGUUUUACUUUUUUUUAGCCCAUAAGCUAAAUUUAAAACAGUUAAAUAAAAAAUUGCAAUACCAACAAAUCCCAUAGGAAUAAUUAGAUAUUAUUGUGUAUUUUUAAAACCAUAAAAUGAAAAAUAAUCUAAAAAAACGACAUAAAAACUACGUUUUUAUAUCACGUAUUUACAACGUGAUAAAAAUGACGUCAGUUAUGGUGGUACAUAUUCACGUGACUUUCUACGUCGAAAAAACGUGCCCAACUGACGUGGUUUGGUGAUAAUUAUAACGCCUUUUCAACGUUUUGUAAACAUUAUUUGGUUGGCUGGGAAUAAAAGAGUUAUCGCAUUAUUCGUAAUAAAUGAAAAGGGCGUUGGGUAUCUGUAAUUUGAGAAAAAAAAAUUUCAAUUAAAAGGAUGUAAUUGCAUAUUAAAACAUAGUUUUUAAUUAAUUCCAAACAACUUUUCAUAAUAAUAAUUUUCGAUAUUGUGAAAUAUAAGGUACUCUUGAUCGAAAUUCAUAUUUUUGAUACUCAUAAGAUUGACACAAUUUUAUAUUUGGUUGCAUUUUAGUUUUUAGACUAUGCAAAGCAUUUUAUGAAGAAUGCAUUUUUUCCGUAAAAUUAAUAAUAAAAAAGUUUUCUAUAUGGUUUCAAGUUACGCAGACACAAUGUCUUAAUUAUUUUCUUUUUUUUUCAAAAUAAAUUGUAUAUUGUGGAUUUUAUUAGAGGAAACCCGAUUGUAACUAUUUAAAAUGAAUUAUAAUUAUUCUAUGCAAUGAUUAUGAUAUAGUCGAUUCCCUAAUCUUAGACACAACUGUCUACACUACAAUCACAAUAAAAAUGCACUAUAUAGAACUCAACAAACCAAGACACGUUGAAUGUUCGAGGAGCACUCCCAAAUCAUCAUUUAGGAGUACCCCUCGUGCUUGUUUAUUUCUAUUGCAUCUUUAUUGUGAUUGUAGUGUAGACAGUUGUGUCUCAGAUUAGCGAAUCAACUAUACUUACCAUUUUCACAAUUAAUUUAAUCUCCACACCACUUAAAAUAACAACAUAUAAAAAAGAUUGUCUAAUGUUUUUUACACGAAAACACGAAAAGUUUAAAUUCGUGGCAGACCAAACCCAACGGAUAUUGCAAUAAUAGUCGUAGGUAAUUAUUAACACCAAUAUAAAUUAAAUUGUUAAACCUUCCACUGCAGGAAACCACCCGUUCACCAGUAACACUAAAUAAUGUGUGUGCCUAAUAAACGCAUAAACAAAAAUGGAAAAGAUACUUAAGUCAAAUACAUCAUAAUUCAUAGAGUAUUUGUUUAUUUAAGAGUAAUUAUCAUAAAUUCGAGUAAAAGAUUCAUUUAGUAAAACUGCUUGAUCCAUCAAGUUGUCUAUUUGUUGGAGUAAAACUGCUAAGUGGCGUUUUAUGGGUGUUAAUUUAUGUUUCUACUCGUCAAGGAGUGUGAUUUGAUGUUUAUUUGAUUAUUUUGAGUAUGUAUGAGUUUACAACAUAAAAUCGAUUGGAUGGUAUGCCACCCCUGAUUCAAUUUACUUCAAAGAAAAAAAUUAGGAAGGAACAACAAAAUGUAAUAUAUUUUUGACAGAGUUAGUUCAACAUUUCGGGACAGGAAUGAUUAUUUUUUCCGCAAUAACACAAUAUUUGAUUUUUGAGAUUUCUCUAGCUGUUCAUGAAAUAAGUAAAAUUGUAUAUAAAAAAUGAAUAUCUCGUUUAAAAUUAAUAUUUAUUAUUUACCAAACCUUCGGUUUGGCGCCCCUUUGGGGUUACGCCUGUGUGCGCCGCACGCGUUGCACGCCCGGUUACGGGGGCCCUGACUUACUAUACUUACCAUUUUCACAAUUAAUUUAAUCUCCACACCACUUAAAAUAACAACAUAUAAAAAAGAUUGUCUAAUGUUUUUUACACGAAAACACGAAAAGUUUAAAAUCGUGGCAGACCAAACCCAACGGAUAUUGCAAUAAUAGUCGUAGGUAAUUAUUAACACCAAUAUAAAUUAAAUUGUUAAACCUUCCACUGCAGGAAACCACCCGUUCACUAGUAACACUAAAUAAUGUGUGUGCCUAAUAAACGCAUAAACAAAAAUGGAAAAGAUACUUAAGUCAAAUACAUCAUAAUUCAUAGAGUAUUUGUUUAUUUAAGAGUAAUUAUCAUAAAUUCGAGUAAAAGAUUCAUUUAGUAAAACUGCUUGAUCCAUCAAGUUGUCUAUUUGUUGGAGUAAAACUGUUAAGUUGCGUUUUAUGGGUGUUAAUUUAUGUUUCUACUCGUCAAGGAGUGUGAUUUGAUGUUUAUUUGAUUAUUUUGAGUAUGUAUGAGUUUACAACAUAAAAUCGAUUGGAUGGUAUGCCACCCCUGAUUCAAUUUACUUCAAAGAAAAAAAUUAGGAAGGAACAACAAAAUGUAAUAUAUUUUUGACAGAGUUAGUUCAACAUUUCGGGACAGGAAUGAUUAUUUUUUCAGUAAUAACACAAUAUUUGAUUUUUGAUAAGUAAAAUUGUAUAUAAAAAAUGAAUAUCUCAUUUAAAAUUAAUAUUUAUUAUUUACCAAACCUUCGGUUUGGCGCCUCUUUGGGGUUACGCCUGCGUGCGCCGCACGCGUUGCACGCCCGGUUACGGGGGCCCUGAUUCGAAGUUUACACAAAGGCGCAAUAUUAAAAAAAAGAAAGUUCGUUACUGUUACUAAGGUUUUGUUGAUAGAAUAAAAAAUAUAAAAACGGGAAGUAGGGAUUGUGUCCGAUCCCGAUCCCACAUAAAUUAUUACUUUAAUACCAAAAGUAUGUGUUAGUGUAAUAAAGUUUAUUUGUGAAAAG